CCUACGGGAGGCUGCAGUGGGGAAUAUUGGACAAUGGGCGAAAGCCUUAUCCAGCCAUGCCGCGUGUGUGAAGAAGGCCUUCGGGUUGUAAAGCACUUUCAGUGGGGAAGAAAGCCUUGGGGCUAAUACCCUCGAGGAAGGACAUCACCCACAGAAGAAGCACCGGCUAACUCCGUGCCAGCAGCCGCGGUAAUACGGAGGGUGCGAGCGUUAAUCGGAAUUACUGGGCGUAAAGCGCGCGUAGGCGGUCUGAUAAGCCGGUUGUGAAAGCCCCGGGCUCAACCUGGGAACGGCAUCCGGAACUGUCAGGCUAGAGUGCAGGAGAGGAAGGUAGAAUUCCCGGUGUAGCGGUGAAAUGCGUAGAGAUCGGGAGGAAUACCAGUGGCGAAGGCGGCCUUCUGGACUGACACUGACGCUGAGGUGCGAAAGCGUGGGUAGCAAACAGGAUUAGAUACCCGUGUAGUC
RNAcentral lists this ribosomal RNA (465 nucleotides) under Vreelandella stevensii. RNAcentral describes it as "partial 16S ribosomal RNA". It matches the Rfam family "Bacterial small subunit ribosomal RNA", at positions 338 to 795 of the family's 1533-position model. Lineage: Bacteria; Pseudomonadati; Pseudomonadota; Gammaproteobacteria; Oceanospirillales; Halomonadaceae. The record is from RNAcentral.